CUGGUCGGGACACACGGCAGCACGAGUCGAGCGGCGCAUAGACGAGCUCUCUUCCCCGCUCCUCUCUCUCUCGGUUCGCUGUGAGACGCAGAAAUUCCCCACUCCUCCCACCCAAAUCUCAUGGACCAGUUGUGAUUAAGGAAGGGCGCGGCCGGUGGGGAACCGCGGCCGUGAUUGGGUGGGGUCGUCGAGGACCAUGGCGGCGGAGCAGGCCAUGUCUGGGCACCGGAUCGACAGGCUCUCGGCGUCAGAUCUACAAGCACCGGGCGCCAUCCCCGUCGGCGGCCCACACGUUGCCGCUCCAGCACCCGCGGCAGUAGAAGUGGGCGCGCCCGACAGACCUCAUCUCGUCAGGGGUGUCCACGUCGAAGUAGAUGUCGCGGGCGAAGGGCGCGUCGUUGACGGCCAUAGAGACGACGAUGCCAUCUACGGGAAGGCCGACAACGUCGCGCGCGUGCAGCUCGUCCGGGCACCACUGCUCCCAGACGCCUUGGCGCUCCAUUUGAAGUGCCGGAGCAUGGCGUCGUCUUGGACAACAUGAGACAAAAUUUUCAGUGCAAGCGGGCAAAUUGUAUCCACCACUUAGGCAAUUUUCAGGAAAAUACUGGCUUGUGAUUGAUUCUACAACUGAACUGGACUGCAGUUGCUCUACAUCGAGAAUUGUUGGGGCCUCCAUUGUAGGGCCAAGGAAUUGGAUGGAUGGAUGUUGGCUGAACUGAAUUGGAUGGAUGUUGGCUGAAUUGCUCAGCCCGUGUCAAGGAAGCUUCAGACAAAAAGAUUGCUCAGCCCGUGUCAACUGAACUGAAUUGGAUGGAUGUUGGCUACCGGCCGGCUAAUGUAGCAGGAAAGGAAAGUUCAGGCCGAGGUUGCACAUCAUGCAAUGCGCCGAUGAAGAAGCAACAGAUUUUCACUAGUACUCCUAGUAUUAUUGUUGGCCAAUUUACAGGGUGCAACGAUGAGGGAUGCACAAACAAGCUGUGGCCAGUGGGAGAGGCAAGGGGACCUGUUCACUGCUGCAAGAAGGAUGUCGAAGGAACCAAAAGUGGAAGCUAGCAUAGCGACACCAUGUUCGUUUGUCCUCAAGAGGUAAAUGCCAUCUCUUUUUGAAGAACUGAACUAUUUUCACCAUCGUUUGUUUCUGUGUUAUAUAUGAGAUUUUUUGUCAUCGAUAAUGCGUGUUUAUUUAGAAUCUCAAUGCCACCCCCUCGCGUCCACUAUUGCGGUCAAAGGCAAAGUUGCCUAAUAAGAAUCACUAGUUGUCUGCUAUAAGAUGCAAGUUGUCUAAACGACGACCACUUGUUGCCUGGGACAAAGAGACAUGUUGCUUGGGAUGAAAAGCUCCCCACCAGUUAGUUUUUCUGCAGUAUAAAGGCAAAGUUGGUUAAAUGACAACCCGUCUUUUUUUUAAAUGUCUACUAGUUGAAGAGGGUGUGUGUGGUCCUUUUUUGGGCAAAUCGAUGAUUUUGAGCGCAGGGUGGUUUGCGGCCUCGGGAUGCGGGGGGUGGAAUCGUCGGCGAUUUUGGGCCAGAAAUUUUUAAAACUUGCCCAACACAUGAUAGUUAGUUGCUAGAGAUGUUGGCGCGAGUUGCCCAAGAUCCUCCCCCGAGAGUGUUGGGUAUAUUUUUUAGCCAAAACUUGCUCAACACAUGAUGGUUAGUUGCUAGAGAUGUUGGCGCGGGUUGCCCAAGAGCUGCUCUCGGGAAUGUUGGGUUCUAUUUCUGCCCAAAACUUGCCGAACACAUGAUGGUUAGCUACUAGAGAUGUUGUCGCGAGUUGCCCAGAGAUCCGCUCCCAAGAGGGCUAGUUUUUUUGGCCCAAAACUUGCUCAACGCAUAAUAGUUAGUCACUAGAGAUGCUGGCGCGAGUUGCCUAGAGAUCUACUGCCGGGGGUGUUGGGUUCUAUGUUUUGCCCAAAACUUGCUCAGCGAUAUUUUUUAUAAUUUGAGAAACCUAUGAGAAACUGAGAGGACACGAUGGGGGGGGGGGGGGGGGCUCUGAAAAGUGCCAAAACUUGCCUAACUUAUUCUGCUACACAUGCUUUUGGUGUGAGUUGCUCAAGGAUUUUUGUAAAGUGCCUAACUAUUGCGUUUGUAGUUGCCUCAAAAUGAUGCAAACUUGCCCUUUCAUGCAAAGUUAUUACAUAUAGUUGCUACACAUGCUCUUUCGUGUGAGUUGUUGAAGGAAUGUUUGUUAACUGCCUAACUAUUGCGUUUGUAGUUGCCUCAAAAUGAUGCAAACUUGCCCUUUCCUGCAAAGUUAUUACAUAUAGUUGCUACACAUGCUCUUUCAUGUGAGUUGCUGAAGGAAUUUUUGUUAAUUGCCUAACUAUUGUCUUUGUAGUUGCCUCAAAAUGAUGCAAACUUAAUACAGACAAUUGCUACACACGGUGCGAGUUGCCCAAGGAAUUUUUGUAAACUGCCUAACCAUAGCCUUGUAUUUGCCUCAAAAUGAUGCAAACUUUGCAUCUCUCUUCUCGCAUAGUCUUUUUUCAAACUACCCAAAAUGAUCAAACUAUUUCCCCCUUUUUUCCAAGCAAGUUAUUGAAUGAGUCAAGCAACUAACAUAGGGAACACAGGCAACUGAUAUAACAACAUCAUAUGUUUUUUUACAUUUUUACCCCCAAUAGGUGGGUGAAAGCAAGUUAAUUGAAUGAAUUAAGCAACUAACAUAAUGAACACAUGCAACUAAUAUUUUUUUUACUCUUUUUUUCUAGCAGGCCACUUUUACGUGUUGAAGGAACCUAUGUUUUUAAAGCGUCCCUAAGGCGACGCCUAGGCGACGCCUAGGCGACGCCUAGGCGUCGAAGCGCCCCCCUCCGCUUUGGGCGCCUAGGCGUCCAAAGCGCCCGCCUAGGCGUCGCCUAGGCGCCAAAGCGCCCCCCUCCCUAAGGCGGUAAGGCGUCGCCUUAAAAACAUAGGAAGGAACGCUGGAAGAAGGCGUGCCUUUUGUUGGGACAGAUGUGUUUUUCAAGUGUUUUGGGAUGGAAAAAUUCACCAAAAUAAGAUUUUUGAGAUAGCAAUGUGUGUUCUGUUCCAGAAACUAAAAGUAGUAGUAUCAGCAAAUUCAUAUAACUAUUUUUGCUUUUUCUUUGGUCUUAUUCUACCAGCAGUAACAAAACUACUACUGAGUGUUUUUAUGAUUAUUUUUUACCUAGUCCUUACAAUUUUUCCCUUACUAUGUUUGUCUAUGACUAUUUUUUUGCUUCACCAUGGUUUCUUGGGGAACCGAACACCAUUGUAGCUUUCUUUAGAGGAGAAAAGCUACGAAGAAACGUUAGUUUUUUUUGUUUCAUUCAGUUUUUGCAGGACCCACAUACAAAAAUAUCAAAGCCAUGGAAGGCCUAGAGCAGCUACUCUCCAGGUGUAGUGCAAAAAAAAGAUACUAGUUGCCCAGGGACCAGGUGCUUUUUUUCUCUUCGAUGGGUGGUCACACAAGACGAUGGGGUGGAAGAAGAAAGAAGAGGGAGAAGAAGAAGGGCGUGGGGACAGCUUGGGAGAGAAGAAGAAAGGAGAGAGGGGCAAUGCUUUUGGUGAAGCGCGUGAAGGGAGGGAGAGAAGCUGGGUGGACGGAGGGACGUGGGAGACGGUGAACCCUUUCCUUUCCAAAUCUGGACUGAGGGGGUCCAAAACAUACCUAAUAUGGGAGGCUGCCAGGGGGCACUAGCGGGCACAUGUUUGCCCACUAGACGCGUCCAUUUUUUUUCCUUUCUAAUCUAACCAUCACCCCCCUGAUUUUAAAGGGGUGGGGCCGGACCUUAUUUUGUUCCAAUCAAAUCAAGCCACGUAUGCGGGAGCACGGAUGGGCGCACGUGGAGGGAGCAGGCAAGUCUCGUCCCCGUCGCACCGUGUAGCUCCCUCCCCCUCUACAACAUUGCCAAUCUGGGCAGGCUAACGAAUGGGCCACUCCCCGGCUCAGCUUGCCGUUUGCAGGUCAUCUUUAGGUUGGGAGACGACAGACGACACAUCCAGCAGCUUCUGGUGUAAUCGUAGCUCCAUCGGACGAAUGCGAGCCUAGCUAGCCAUCAUGCUAUUUGGGACGACCUCACUUGUCUUCUUGAUCGCUUUUCGCUAGCAUCACUAACUAGUUACUCCACAGUCCACAUGCUACUCGAUCGUACUCCCUCCGUUUGAAAUUACUUGUCACAAAAAUGGAUAUAUCUACAACUAAAAUACAUCUAGAUACAUUUAAAUCUUGGACGGGUAAUUCCAAACGGAGGGAGUAUGAUUUAGUAUUACGUGUUAAUGCCAUCCGUUAAAAUAUAUUGAAUAGACGGCUUAAUUACGUCCA
Long non-coding RNA from Triticum aestivum (bread wheat), 4287 nucleotides. RefSeq lists it as uncharacterized. Lineage: Eukaryota; Viridiplantae; Streptophyta; Magnoliopsida; Poales; Poaceae. The record is from RefSeq and is a predicted model, not a curated record. The transcript is spliced from 4 exons.